CGCGUGGGAACGUGCCUUUCGGUUCGGGAUAACCCAGGGAAACUUGGGCUAAUACCGGAUACGCCCUUCGGGGGAAAGAUUCAUUGCCGAAAGAUCGGCCCGCGUCGGAUUAGCUAGUUGGUGGGGUAAAAGCCUACCAAGGCGACGAUCCGUAGCUGGUCUGAGAGGAUGACCAGCCACACUGGGACUGAGACACGGCCCAGACUCCUACGGGAGGCAGCAGUGGGGAAUAUUGGACAAUGGGCGAAAGCCUGAUCCAGCCAUGCCGCGUGGGUGAAGAAGGCCCUAGGGUUGUAAACC
Molecule: ribosomal RNA, 300 nt
Filed under: uncultured Hyphomicrobiaceae bacterium
Lineage: Bacteria; Pseudomonadati; Pseudomonadota; Alphaproteobacteria; Hyphomicrobiales; Hyphomicrobiaceae
Description: bacterial SSU rRNA
Rfam family: Bacterial small subunit ribosomal RNA
Source: RNAcentral